UCUUUCGUAGUAUAGUGGUCAGUAUGUGAGCUUAUCAUCUGAGCCCGACAUUCGCUCGAGACUGGGCUCAAUUCCUAGCGGGAGAG
Schizothecium vesticola is the source of this 86-nucleotide non-coding RNA. NCBI's taxonomy places the organism in Eukaryota, Fungi, Ascomycota, Sordariomycetes, Sordariales, Schizotheciaceae. The record is from the annotation of a GenBank genome assembly.